CAAUGUUGUAAAGUAAUUAGCCUCCAACUAAUAAAAAUAAAUGAAAAAAAAAAAAAAAAAGAAUGGGCAUGCAACAUACCAGGUUCUAUCUUGCAGCUAUUACAUUUAUACUGGAAUUUUCCUUCUAUGGAAUCUCCUUUAAAAGUAGAUUCCCUAAUUUGGAUGCUCCACUGGUUUACAUUUCUCUUUUUUCUUCACAGGCUGCAUGCCUAUCUAAAUCAGUAAUUAUAGGUUGCAUAGUGAUGUAUUGGCAUGCUUUUGACUGAGGUAUUGCAGAAUAGCCAGUUAAACAGUCAGCUUUACCCUUUGGUAACAAGCAGUCCAGCCCUAUGCAGUUUCAGGAUUAGUCUGUCAGUGGCCCUGGGGGACAGUCAGGGGCCCUUUUGCUUUCUGUGUUUUCGCCUUGUCAUCCUCAGCGUGUUGAUGCUGACUCCCCUCGUGCCCGCAGGAUGGCUCCAGCACUUCUCGGCAUGUUCUGCACACACGAUCCGAAGGCAGAAUAGUGUCUCCUCCUGCUUCUCUAUGAGGGAGCGUAACUUUUCCUGAAUGCGUCCCAACAGAUUUCCCCUCAGAUCCUACUGGUUGAGAUGUGGUUAUUUACACUGGCAACAGGAGUGGAACAGUCACAGUUGGCUGGGACCAGUCAAGAAUAGGCAAUCUAGCAGAGAAUGAUCACUUGAAUUCAGUUAGAGGUCUAAUGCCAUGAAAAACAUGGAGUAGGGGUGGGAUAUGGAACAGUGUCUGCCACAGGGUACUAUCUGUGAGUCCUUGGCCUUCCCACUGGGGAAGUUAAUAUCCUUGUAGAUUUCCAAGAAGAGGAAAGAUACUUUUUACAAUAUUUCCACUGAGCUUGGUGUUGGAUCUCAGAAAUACUGUAUUCAUUGACUCACUUAUUCACAUAGUAAACAUUAACUCAACAUACAUUUUGUGCCAGGUGUUGUGCUCAGCACGGGGGAAGUAGCUGAGUAAGACCUGGUCCUCAUCCUCAGGUGGUGGCUGGCACUUAGUUCAGUGGAAUAGGGUGGCUGAAGUAAAGUGGGGAGGAUAGAGUUAUUCUGUAAUAAACUGAUUUUAGGAAAUUUAUUUUUCAGCAGGAGAUGUGGGACAUGUGGAUGUGGGAUGUGAAUUCAUUUGAAAAGCCACUUUGGGGUUAUGAAAGUGAUUUCUGAUGAAACUGGAUUGGAGUAAUUUUCAUGAUCUUUGUAUAUUUAUACAUAUAUAUUUUAAAAUUUUGCAUUUGACUUAAAGUGCCAUGAGAAAAUUUGCAUACUGCAAGGUGGUCCUGGCCACCUCCUUGAUUUGGGUACUCUUGGAUAUGUUCCUGCUGCUUUACUUCAGUGAAUGCAACAAAUGUGAUGAAAAACAAGAGAGAGGACUUCCUGCUGGGGAUGUUCUAGAGCCAGUACAAAAGCCUCAUGAAGGUCCUGGAGAAAUGGGGAAACCAGUCGUCAUUCCUAAAGAGG
Odocoileus virginianus texanus is the source of this 1463-nucleotide non-coding RNA. NCBI's taxonomy places the organism in Eukaryota, Metazoa, Chordata, Mammalia, Artiodactyla, Cervidae. The record is from RefSeq and is a predicted model, not a curated record.